UAGCUCUGGUUUCUCUUCAGAUCGCAUAAAUCUUUCUCCUUCUACUAAAGAUUUCUAUGGCGAGGAACAAUUUGGAGUUGUAGAUCAAUUUUUUGAGGCCUUGUGUUUGGGGAA
Molecule: small nuclear RNA, 114 nt
Organism: Sorex fumeus (smoky shrew)
Lineage: Eukaryota; Metazoa; Chordata; Mammalia; Eulipotyphla; Soricidae
Product: U5 spliceosomal RNA
Exons: 1
Source: RefSeq, a predicted model, not a curated record